UCGGGAAUUUUGGGCAAUGGGCGAAAGCCUGACCCAGCAACGCCGCGUGAAGGAUGAAGUAUUUCGGUAUGUAAACUUCGAAAGAAUAGGAAGAAUAAAUGACGGUACUAUUUAUAAGGUCCGGCUAACUACGUGCCAGCAGCCGCGGUAAUACGUAGGGACCAAGCGUUGUUCGGAUUUACUGGGCGUAAAGGGCGCGUAGGCGGCAAUUCAAGUCAUCUGUGAAAUCUCCGGGCUUAACUCGGAACGGUCAGAUGAUACUGCUUUGCUAGAGUGCAGAAGGGGCAAUCGGAAUUCUUGGUGUAGCGGUGAAAUGCGUAGAUAUCAAGAGGAACACCUGAGGUGAAGACGGGUUGCUGGGCUGACACUGACGCUGAGGCGCGAGAGCAAGGGGAGCAAACAGGAUUAGAUACCCACGUAGUCCCUGAGCGGGCUGGCAAGGCGCAU
Molecule: ribosomal RNA, 447 nt
Filed under: uncultured bacterium
Lineage: Bacteria
Description: bacterial SSU rRNA
Rfam family: Bacterial small subunit ribosomal RNA
Source: RNAcentral